CAGAUGCCCAUGUGGGGCUUGGACAGCACCCUGAUUUCUCCAGCCCUCAACGGAAGACUCUGGCUUAUACAAACUCCUCUCAGCCGGCUGCUACCCACCUGGUUGUGUUCUGAUAAACGGACAACUGGAUAGCUCCUUCCUCCCUCCAACAGAACAGAUGUCAGGGAUUACAGACUUGGGUCAACCUCAAGACUAAGAAGUGAUGUGGAGGGGAGACCAGUUGUCCCAGCUGAGGCCAUCCGAGUCCAGAUAGGUCCUAGACAACUGGCCACAGAUAUAUGAGGAAGCGCAGGAGAAACUAGAAGAACUAAACAGCUGAGCCCAAACCAAAUGGGUAACCUGAAGAGUUGGAAGCUAAAUAAAUGGUUAAUGUUU
Molecule: long non-coding RNA, 375 nt
Organism: Erinaceus europaeus (western European hedgehog)
Lineage: Eukaryota; Metazoa; Chordata; Mammalia; Eulipotyphla; Erinaceidae
Exons: 3
Source: RefSeq, a predicted model, not a curated record